RNAcentral lists this ribosomal RNA (1443 nucleotides) under uncultured organism. Its description in RNAcentral is "SSU rRNA". It matches the Rfam family "Bacterial small subunit ribosomal RNA". The record is from RNAcentral.
CUAUCGACAGGCUUAACACAUGCAAGUCGAGGGGCAGCACAGGUAGCAAUACCGGGUGGCGACCGGCGCACGGGUGAGUAACGCGUAUGCAACUUACCUAUCAGAGGGGGAUAACCCGGCGAAAGUCGGACUAAUACCGCAUGAAGCAGGGGCCCCGCAUGGGGAUAUUUGCUAAAGAUUCAUCGCUGAUAGAUAGGCAUGCGUUCCAUUAGGCAGUUGGCGGGGUAACGGCCCACCAAACCGACGAUGGAUAGGGGUUCUGAGAGGAAGGUCCCCCACAUUGGUACUGAGACACGGACCAAACUCCUACGGGAGGCAGCAGUGAGGAAUAUUGGUCAAUGGCCGAGAGGCUGAACCAGCCAAGUCGCGUGAGGGAUGAAGGUUCUAUGGAUCGUAAACCUCUUUUAUAAGGGAAUAAAGUGCGGGACGUGUCCCGUUUUGUAUGUACCUUAUGAAUAAGGAUCGGCUAACUCCGUGCCAGCAGCCGCGGUAAUACGGAGGAUCCGAGCGUUAUCCGGAUUUAUUGGGUUUAAAGGGUGCGUAGGCGGCCUUUUAAGUCAGCGGUGAAAGUCUGUGGCUCAACCAUAGAAUUGCCGUUGAAACUGGGGGGCUUGAGUAUGUUUGAGGCAGGCGGAAUGCGUGGUGUAGCGGUGAAAUGCAUAGAUAUCACGCAGAACCCCGAUUGCGAAGGCAGCCUGCCAAGCCAUGACUGACGCUGAUGCACGAAAGCGUGGGGAUCAAACAGGAUUAGAUACCCUGGUAGUCCACGCAGUAAACGAUGAUCACUAGCUGUUUGCGAUACACAGUAAGCGGCACAGCGAAAGCGUUAAGUGAUCCACCUGGGGAGUACGCCGGCAACGGUGAAACUCAAAGGAAUUGACGGGGGCCCGCACAAGCGGAGGAACAUGUGGUUUAAUUCGAUGAUACGCGAGGAACCUUACCCGGGUUUGAACGCAUUCGGACCGAGGUGGAAACACCUUUUCUAGCAAUAGCCGUUUGCGAGGUGCUGCAUGGUUGUCGUCAGCUCGUGCCGUGAGGUGUCGGCUUAAGUGCCAUAACGAGCGCAACCCUUGCCACUAGUUACUAACAGGUAAAGCUGAGGACUCUGGUGGGACUGCCAGCGUAAGCUGCGAGGAAGGCGGGGAUGACGUCAAAUCAGCACGGCCCUUACAUCCGGGGCGACACACGUGUUACAAUGGCGUGGACAAAGGGAGGCCACCUGGCGACAGGGAGCGAAUCCCCAAACCACGUCUCAGUUCGGAUCGGAGUCUGCAACCCGACUCCGUGAAGCUGGAUUCGCUAGUAAUCGCGCAUCAGCCAUGGCGCGGUGAAUACGUUCCCGGGCCUUGUACACACCGCCCGUCAAGCCAUGGGAGCCGGGGGUACCUGAAGUCCGUAACCGCGAGGAUCGGCCUAGGGUAAAACUGGUGACUGGGGCUAAGU